GCCGCAUCCCCGGGGGACCGCUGAUGCGCGGUUGAGAGGUGGCCAGUUCAGGCCACGACCCGCUGAACCUGAUCCGGUUGACACCGGCGGAGGGAGGGAGCGGCUUUCGCCU
RNAcentral lists this non-coding RNA (112 nucleotides) under Sphingomonas sp. RNAcentral describes it as "TPP sequence". It matches the Rfam family "TPP riboswitch aptamer (THI element)". Rfam says of the family: Vitamin B(1) in its active form thiamin pyrophosphate (TPP) is an essential coenzyme that is synthesised by coupling of pyrimidine and thiazole moieties in bacteria. RNAcentral also lists the same sequence under 1 other name. Lineage: Bacteria; Pseudomonadati; Pseudomonadota; Alphaproteobacteria; Sphingomonadales; Sphingomonadaceae. The record is from RNAcentral.